CAGCAAUUAAGGACAGUGUGACUCUGUUCUUCUGACUUUGGGAAAACCAGUUUGGCUGGAACAAAAAGCUGAUAGAGAAGACUAAUGGAAGAUAAGGUUGAAAAGGUUAAAAAAUGGAGGCAACAGCUGGGUACAGUGGCUCACUCCUGUAAUUCCAGCACUUUAGGAGGCCAAGGUAGGCAGAUCACUUGAGAAAAAGAGUUCGAGACCAGCCUGGGCAACAUAGUGAGACCCUCUCUCUCAAAAAAAAUAGCCAAGUGUGAUGAUGGACACCUGUAACCCCAACUACUUCAGAGACUGAGGCAGGAGGAUCACUUGAGCCUAGGAGGUCAAGGCUGCAGUGAGCUGUGAUUGGGCCACUGCACUCCAGCCUGGGUGACACAGAGAGACCUCUCUAAAAAAUAAAAAAAUAAAAAAAAUGGAAGCACAGAAAACUAUACCUUUUCUAGCUCAACUUUACCACAUUGAUGAAAAAGUAUUGAGCAGCCACAGGUACAUGACAUUCCACUAUGUUCUUGGGAUAAUAUUAAAGAAAAGGCAUGAAGGUAUGCUCUGAGCAGGCAAGAGAAGUCACAUAAAAUGAGAGUAAUUUAUAAUGUGAUUUUUUC
Molecule: long non-coding RNA, 608 nt
Filed under: Homo sapiens (human)
Lineage: Eukaryota; Metazoa; Chordata; Mammalia; Primates; Hominidae
Description: non-protein coding lnc-NR1I2-1:12
Source: RNAcentral